AAUUUGGAUUUUAGUAAAUACCACCGCCCCUAAUGUUAGGGAACUGAAAAUAUAACAUACCUCUGUUAAGGACACAAUGAGAUCCAUGUAGCAAGGAGCAAUUAGGUAUAGAAAGCAAUUAGGAUUUAUGCAGGUUUCACUUGAGGUCAGAUAGUUAUUCUGCAAUGAAAGCUUAUUUGUUUUUGCACUAGAAUAAUAAAUAUGAAGGAGCAAGCUAGUAUAUAACUAGCAGGUAGUUAGCAGGAGUUGAAAUGAAAGGGUUAAGCUCCCACUAGCAGUGACUGCAGGCAAAGCUGCCUUAAUGAAUCAGACAAACUAGGAACUCAGAACACAACUAGUUCUACUAUAUCUGUAACAAAGUAUCAUGUCCUGGAAAGCUCUAGGUAAAAAUAACAGGUCCUCCUCAAAAGUAAAUCAGAUACACACAAGCUCAGGAGAUUCUGAAUACAGCCACACAAACAACCUGGACAGACAGAACUUAACAAAUAGCAACUUACCACUAACACAGAAUCAGGAAUCAGACCCACUAACUAGAAAUCUCACACUACACUUUAGCAAAGUCUCUAGAACACAAAACCACCUCUCUCCCUCUUCACAACCUGUAACUCAGUGUGACCAGCUGACCAAGGGAUAUUCAUUGCUUCCUCUCAAAGUUGAUUGAUUACCACUCUUGCAAUGAUUAACUCUUCCAUUUCCAAGUAAACCAGAAGUAGGAAUUCCCAAAAGUCUCACACCAUUAUGGACUUACAAAUGGGAGACUGUUAACCAUUUCCUAAUCCAUCCAGAACAUACCAGUUACAUCCAGUGACUUGUCGCAUACUCACUUUCCAGUAAAAUCAGACCCCUCUCAGGUUGUGUUUCAGGACACUUUAUUUGGAGAUGCCUAUAUUUUCUGGUCUUUCAAAUUCAAGCACAUAACAAUACUAUUGGCUUUUCCUCACCCUGGUAUUAAUGCUGUGCUCAAGUUGCAGUUGUAUGCUGCACAAUAGCCUACCUGUUAAUAGGGGUAACGGAUACCACUUCAUGUGAGGCUGUGUAUAUCUAAAAUUCCUACAGAUUUUGUUAUGCAGAAAUAAAAUAGGAAUAGUAACGGCAGAUCUGGAUAACUGACUUCUCUAUGCAAACCAUAAAAAUUGAUAGCAAAACAUUUUCCUAAAUUAUACUACUACAACUCCCAUUAUUACAACUUUUCAGCAAUCAACUUUUCUGUUCUGACAGCAGCAUCCCUUGUGAGUAGGACAUCCCCAGCACUUGAAGCCAAUGGAAGUUGAACUCCUCACAUAUAACAAGUCAAUAAUUAUUCACAUACAUACACAGCUUUCCUCUGCUGCACCAACAGCCCUUGUUUUUCUUAAGACCUCACCAUAACCGCAGAAAGAACAGUCAAGGAUAUAAAUGGAUUUAAUGGGGAUAUACUUCAGAGAUCUCAAAGAAAGGCUCUACUGACAUCUGGGCCAGCCUCACCGCUUCACAUGAUCGUGUUUCGUAUAUGUAAGCGUCACAGCAAUUCAACUUCCUGACUUAUAUUAUGAGCAGACUUCGUCCCAAGGCCUGUGGGGAGUUUUUAUUUUUAUUAUGGUUCUCCAUGGAAACUUCACACCACCUACUUCAAAUCCUUUCUUAAUUAUGAACACAAAAUACAACAUUUUAUUGCUGAUGUUCGUCAUUUCCUUUUGUAUUCACCAAAAAAUGUGUUUCGAUACAUUACACAUUGAUGCUGCAAAGGUUAAAGUUUUCGUUUUUCUUCAAGACUUGAAUAUGAAGGCCUUGCUUUAAGUCAUCAAAAGGCUGUUUCAAGAAAAAAAAAAGCUUAUUUAGGGAAAUUGUACUGGUAUGGGAUCCAUUAUCCAGAAACCCAUUAACCCGUUUAGCUACGAAUUGCAGGAAAGACAUCUGCCAUAGACUUAAUUUUAAUCAAAUAGUAUAUGUAGUUCUAAUAUGGGAGAUCUACCAAAGGGAUAUUUCCAUUCUAACUACUUAUGAAAUUUUGGAAUUUUCAAAAUCAUGGGUAAAAACACUGCAACAUAAAAUUACUAAUAAUUAAUAAAAAACUAUUUUGCCAAAGAAUCACUUAAUAUCAACAAUAACAACCCCCAAUUAGGUUAUAUUUAUCCCCUGAUUAAAAUAGACUUAUUGCAAAUAAUAACUGGUAUCUAUAUCAAAUAGAAAUCAAAUUCCAAAACACCAAUACUGAAGGCAUAAGCAUAUUUUUUUUAAACAAAUAUGUGAAUAAAAGGUUGCCAAAAUGAAAUCAUACUGAUAAAAUUCUUACAGCAGUGAAGAAAGAAUAUGGCUUUACUGUAUGGUUUCCGGUUCUAUAUAAUCUAAUGGACUUAGAUGGCUGGCUUGUGUAAAAAUAAGAAGGAAAAACUUUAGCCCCUAUUCUGAGGUAGACAUGCUCUGUGAGAGGGUUAGGAAUUCUUACUGAUAUAAACUUGUUUGGUGGUGUCCACUGGCGUAGCUAUAGAGGAAGCAGACCCUGUGGGUCUGUUUGCUCUUUAGUGUUGAAACCCUGUCGUGUUAUUUUUUCUUUUUAAAUUAAUGCGCUCACACCUCAGCGAGCGCACAAGCAGCAGGGGGCAUCUACGCAGGGCCCUCCGUACAUUUUUCUUGCAAGGGGGCCCAGCAUGCUGUUGUUAUGCCCCUGGUGGAGUCCUACUUAUUGUUAGAUGGGGAAGCCUUAUUUGUACCAUGUAGUUCUCUUAGACUCCCCUUAUUGAUGAGGGGACAGUGCUGGGAGCCUGGGAUAUGAAAGACUCCAAUGAAGAAAAAAAUGUGUGGAUCUCAGUGGGAAGACCAACCCUGUGAAUGAGGGAUAGCUUGCUAGUUCAGGGGUCUUUAUCCUUGAUGUCACAUUCAAACUUAAAACAAGUUGGGGAGCAAUACAAUACCCUGGAGAUGCCAAAUAGGGCUGUGAUUGGCUAUUGGUAUCUCCUAUGUGGACUUGCCUGGUUUUUAUACAACCAAAACUAGCCUCCAAGCCUGGAAUUUAAUAAUAAGCACCUGCUUUGAGGAAACUUUGAGCAACAUCCAAGGGGUUGGUGAGCAACAGGUUGCUUGUGAGCCACUGGGUGGGGAUCACUGGGCUAGAUCUUACUUUUAGUUGAGGAACAUUAGUUGUUAAAGCUAGAUAUUAGUGUAGUCUAAAGCUCCACCUGGUUUGCCACCAGUGUAGGAACUCACAGCAGUGUAGGAACUCACUUGCAGCAUCCAAUAGUUCAAAAGACCAUGGCUACCUUGUCGUGGUGCUCUAUCCAGAAACCUUGCUGCUUAACUUGGUUCCAGUAUUCCAUAUAGUAUAAGAAGUCGGAUGGCACACACUGUGGCAAUUGUGCUAAAACAUAAGU
Xenopus laevis (African clawed frog) is the source of this 3347-nucleotide long non-coding RNA. RefSeq lists it as uncharacterized. Lineage: Eukaryota; Metazoa; Chordata; Amphibia; Anura; Pipidae. The record is from RefSeq and is a predicted model, not a curated record. The transcript has 2 exons.